AUCCAGUCUCUGAGUAGACCGGUCGCAGCUUAGAUACUGGGAUCGCCUCAGAACACAUUUCUUUGCCCUUCACGGCCACUACCGGUAUUGGGAUAUGCGAGUCUCAGGGCCAUUCGUUGCUCACAGGUCGAGCUGGUCUGGACUCCGUUCGACCACGAAUCAUGGCUCCUUCCUGCCAGUUACAUCCCCUCUGCACCCUUGCCCAGCCAUUUUACCAGGCCUCUCCACAUUGCCCUGCCCCACGGGCUUGUAAUCCUGCGGCAACAUUGACCCUUCUUUGGCUUGCAUCAGUCCAGCAUUAAGAUAGAAAUCAUCAUUUGACCACAUUACAGCUUCUUGGAUUUCAAUCAAACUUUUUUUUAUAUCGCAGUCCAUUUCCAUUAAAAAAAAAAAAAAAAACCAAACUCUCAAUUUCAGCCUCACCCUUGAUUAACAGAGUAACCUUUUGUAACUCUCCUUUUUGUAAGAUUUAGAAAAAUGAUACAUGGCUAACUUCCAAAGGUAAUUGAGUAUAUUGUGGUUUUAUCUUUUUAAAACCAAACAUUUUACAUACAUUUUCUAGUAUAUUCCAAAGCACAGUCACUUAUGAAUAGGAAAGUACACAGUCGAAACUAGCUUGCUGAACAUUAAAUGCCAAAAAAUAGUAUCCAUGUCAAGUUAUCAAUACUUAACUGUUAGACACUGUGCUAAAGACCCACGUGCAUUAUCUCUUUUAAUCUUUAAGAAGGUGGCCAGGCGCGGUGGCUCACGCCUGUAAUCCCAGAACUUUGGGAGGUCAAGGCGGACGGAUCACGAGGUCAGGAGAUCGAGGCCAUCCCGGUGCUAGCACGGUGAAACCCCAUCUCUACUAAAAAUACAAAAAAAAUUAGCGGGAGGCGUGGUGAGCCUGUAGUCCCAGCUACUUGGGAGGCUGAGGCAGGAGAAUGGCGUGAACCCGGGAGGCGGAGCUUGCAGUGAGCCAAGAUCGCACCACUGCACUCCAGCCUGGGCGACAGAGCGAGACUCUGAAAAAAAAAAAAAAAAAUUCUUUAAGAAAGCAUUUUUUUGUAAUUCCAGCAUUUUGGGAGGCCAAGGUGGGCGGAUCACGAGGUCAAGAGAUCAAGACCAUUCUGGCCAACAUGGUGAAACCCUGUCUCCACUAAAAAUACAAAAAUCAGCUGGGCAUAGUGGCCUGCGCCUGUAGUCCCAGCUACUGCUUCUCGGAGGCAGAGGCAGGAGAAUCGCCUGAAGGGGGGAGGUUGCAGUGAGCUGAGACCGCACCACUGCAGUCCAGCCUGGCAACAGAACAAGACUCCGUCUCAAAAAAACAAACAAAAAGAAAGCAUUUUUUUCUUGCCCCUAUUUUAGAGCGAAGGAAUCUGAAGCCCCAGGAGGUAAAGAAACUUGCCCAGGAGAUUGUACACCUAAGAUAAGGAGCCAGUAUUUGAGCCUUGGCAGUUUGAUUGUUAACCUCUAUAGGUUGUUGUCUUGAGCUUCAGAUUUAUAAUUUUGGGUUGGGCAUGGUGGCUCAGACGUGUAAUCCCAGCACUUUGGGAGGCCAAGGUGGGUGGAUCACUUGAGGUCAAGAGUUCGAGACUAGCCUGGCCAACAGGGCAAAACCCCAUCUCUAAUAAAAAUACAAAAUUCACUGGGCAUGGUGGCCUGUAAUCCCA
Macaca fascicularis (crab-eating macaque) is the source of this 1652-nucleotide long non-coding RNA. NCBI's taxonomy places the organism in Eukaryota, Metazoa, Chordata, Mammalia, Primates, Cercopithecidae. The record is from Ensembl.